Molecule: ribosomal RNA, 466 nt
Filed under: uncultured bacterium
Lineage: Bacteria
Description: partial 16S ribosomal RNA
Rfam family: Bacterial small subunit ribosomal RNA
Source: RNAcentral
GAUGAACGCUGGCGGCGUGCUUAACACAUGCAAGUCGAACGGAAAGGCCAGUGCUUGCUCUGGUACUCGAGUGGCGAACGGGUGAGUAACACGUGGGUGACCUGCCCUGUACUUCGGGAUAAGCUUGGGAAACUGGGGCUAAUACCGGAUAGGACAUCCUGUUGGAUGUUGGUGUGGAAAGAUUUUGCGGUGUGGGAUGAGGUCGCGGCUUAUCAGCUUGUUGGUGGGGUAAUGGCGUACCAAGGCGUUGACGGGUAGCCGGCCUGAGAGGGUGUACGGCCACAUUGGGACUGAGAUACGGCCCAGACUCCUACGGGAGGCAGCAGUGGGGAAUAUUGCACAAUGGGCGCAAGCCUGAUGCAGCGACGCCGCGUGCGGGAUGAAGGCCUUCGGGUUGUAAACUCCUUUCGCUAGUGACGAAGCGCAAGUGACGGUACCUGGUGAAGAAGCACCGGCUAACUACGUG